GCAUAAUCAUUAGUCUUUUAAUUGAAGGCUGGUAUGAAUGGCGGGACGGGGCUCUUACUGUCUUUAUUGAAAUAAAUUUGAAUUUAAUUUUUUAGUUAAAAAGCUGAAAUUUGUUUGGAGGACGAGAAGACCCUAUAGAGCUUAAUAUAUUAGUUUUAUUUUUAGUUUAAGCUUGGAGAAUAAGAUGGCUAUAUUUUGUUGGGGUGACAGGAAGAUAGAUUAAACUCUUUUUUUUCAACUUCAUUAAUUAAUGUUUUUAUGAUCCAUUUAUUGUGAUUAAAAGAAUAAGUUACCUUAGGGAUAACAGCGUAAUUUUUCUAGAGAGUUCAUAUCGACAGAAGAGUUUGCGACCUCGAUGUUGGACUAAGAUAAAAUUUAGGUGCAGAAGCUUAAAUAUUAGGUCUGUUCGACCAUUAAAAUCUUACAU
This 427-nucleotide ribosomal RNA is filed under the name Oligoneuria mitra. RNAcentral's name for it is "partial 16S ribosomal RNA". It matches the Rfam family "Bacterial large subunit ribosomal RNA", at positions 1959 to 2601 of the family's 2925-position model. Lineage: Eukaryota; Metazoa; Arthropoda; Insecta; Ephemeroptera; Oligoneuriidae. The record is from RNAcentral.